Molecule: ribosomal RNA, 114 nt
Filed under: Pseudoalteromonas sp. NC201
Lineage: Bacteria; Pseudomonadati; Pseudomonadota; Gammaproteobacteria; Alteromonadales; Pseudoalteromonadaceae
Source: RNAcentral
UGGUAAGCAUAGCGUUUUGGACCCACCUGACUCCAUGCCGAACUCAGAAGUGAAACAAAACAGCGCCGAUGAUAGUGUGGGAUUUCCCAUGUGAAAGUAGGACAUUGCCAAGCA